This 374-nucleotide ribosomal RNA is filed under the name uncultured organism. RNAcentral describes it as "partial 16S ribosomal RNA". It matches the Rfam family "Bacterial small subunit ribosomal RNA", at positions 527 to 896 of the family's 1533-position model. The record is from RNAcentral.
GUAGGUGGCAAGCGUUGUCCGGAAUUAUUGGGGCGUAAAGCGCGCGCAGGCGGUUCUUUAAGUCUGAUGUGAAAGCCCACGGGCUCAACCGUGGAGGGUCAUUGGAAACUGGAGAACUUGAGUACAGAAGAGGAAAGCGGAAUUCCACGUGUAGCGGUGAAAUGUGUAGAGAUGUGGAGGAACACCAGUGGCGAAGGCGGCUUUCUGGUCUGUAACUGACGCUGAGGCGCGAAAGCGUGGGGAGCAAACAGGAUUAGAUACCCUGGUAGUCCACGCCGUAAACGAUGAGUGCUAAGUGUUAGGGGGUUUCCGCCCCUUAGUGCUGCAGCUAACGCAUUAAGCACUCCGCCUGGGGAGUACGGCCGCAAAGGCUG